This 465-nucleotide ribosomal RNA is filed under the name uncultured bacterium. RNAcentral describes it as "bacterial SSU rRNA". It matches the Rfam family "Bacterial small subunit ribosomal RNA", at positions 355 to 825 of the family's 1533-position model. The record is from RNAcentral.
UCGAGAAUCUUCGGCAAUGGGCGAAAGCCUGACCGAGCGAUGCCGCGUGCGGGAUGAAGGCCUUCGGGUUGUAAACCGCUGUCGUAGGGGAGAAAGGGUCGUUGAAGAAACGACUUUGAUCUAUCCUAGGAGGAAGUCCGGGCUAAGUUCGUGCCAGCAGCCGCGGUAACACGAACCGGACAAACGUUAUUCGGAAUUACUGGGCUUAAAGGGUGCGUAGGCGGUGCGGUAAGUGCGGUGUGAAAUCCCACGGCUCAACCGUGGAAUUGCGCUGCAUACUGCCGUGCUAGAGGGAGACAGGGGUAAGCGGAACUGAUGGUGGAGCGGUGAAAUGCGUAGAUAUCGGAAAGAACACCAGUGGCGAAGGCGACUUCCUGGCCUAAUACUGACACUGAGGCACGAAAGCGUGGUGAGCAAACAGGAUUAGAUACCCGCGUAGUCCCUGAGCGGGCUGGCAAGGCGCAU